RNAcentral lists this ribosomal RNA (835 nucleotides) under Algibacter lectus. RNAcentral's name for it is "bacterial SSU rRNA". It matches the Rfam family "Bacterial small subunit ribosomal RNA", at positions 77 to 913 of the family's 1533-position model. Lineage: Bacteria; Pseudomonadati; Bacteroidota; Flavobacteriia; Flavobacteriales; Flavobacteriaceae. The record is from RNAcentral.
AGCUUGCUUCAGAUGACGACCGGCGCACGGGUGCGUAACGCGUAUACAAUCUACCUUUUGCUGAGGGAUAGCCCAGAGAAAUUUGGAUUAAUACCUCAUAGUAUACAUUAGUCUCAUGAGUUAUGUAUUAAAGGUUACGGCAAAAGAUGAGUAUGCGUCCUAUUAGCUAGAUGGUAAGGUAACGGCUUACCAUGGCCACGAUAGGUAGGGGCCCUGAGAGGGGGAUCCCCCACACUGGUACUGAGACACGGACCAGACUCCUACGGGAGGCAGCAGUGAGGAAUAUUGGACAAUGGAGGCAACUCUGAUCCAGCCAUGCCGCGUGCAGGAUGACUGCCCUAUGGGUUGUAAACUGCUUUUAUACAGGAAGAAACACCUCUACGUGUAGAGGCUUGACGGUACUGUAAGAAUAAGGAUCGGCUAACUCCGUGCCAGCAGCCGCGGUAAUACGGAGGAUCCAAGCGUUAUCCGGAAUCAUUGGGUUUAAAGGGUCCGUAGGUGGAUAAUUAAGUCAGAGGUGAAAGUUUGCAGCUCAACUGUAAAAUUGCCUUUGAUACUGGUUAUCUUGAAUCAUUAUGAAGUGGUUAGAAUAUGUAGUGUAGCGGUGAAAUGCAUAGAUAUUACAUAGAAUACCAAUUGCGAAGGCAGAUCACUAAUAAUGUAUUGACACUGAUGGACGAAAGCGUGGGGAGCGAACAGGAUUAGAUACCCUGGUAGUCCACGCCGUAAACGAUGGAUACUAGCUGUUCGGUUUUCGGACUGAGUGGCUAAGCGAAAGUGAUAAGUAUCCCACCUGGGGGAGUACGUUCGCAAGAAUGAAACUCAAAGGAAUUGA